This 21-nucleotide small nuclear RNA is filed under the name Arabidopsis thaliana (thale cress). RNAcentral describes it as "snRNA_17177". Lineage: Eukaryota; Viridiplantae; Streptophyta; Magnoliopsida; Brassicales; Brassicaceae. The record is from RNAcentral.
UGCGCAAAUGCGGAUAUAAAG